Molecule: ribosomal RNA, 440 nt
Filed under: uncultured bacterium
Lineage: Bacteria
Description: partial 16S ribosomal RNA
Rfam family: Bacterial small subunit ribosomal RNA
Source: RNAcentral
CUACGGGGGGCUCCAGUGAGGAAUAUUGCACAAUGGAGGAAACUCUGAUGCAGCAACGCCGCGUGGAGGAUGACACUUUUCGGAGCGUAAACUCCUUUUAUAUAGGAAGAAGAUGACGGUACUAUAUGAAUAAGCGCCGGCUCACUCCGGUGCCAGCAGCCGCGGUAAUACGGAGGGCGCAAGCGUUACUCGGAAUCACUGGGCGUAAAGAGCGUGUAGGCGGAUUAAAAAGUCAGAAGUGAAAUCCUAUAGCUUAACUAUAGAACUGCUUCUGAAACUCUUAAUCUAGAAUAUGGGAGAGGUAGAUGGAAUUUCUGGUGUAGGGGUAAAAUCCGUAGAGAUCAGAAGGAAUACCGAUUGCGAAGGCGAUCUACUAGAACAUUAUUGACGCUGAGACGCGAAAGCGUGGGGAGCAAACAGGAUUAGAUACCCUUGUAGUC